GACGAACGCUGGCGGCGUGCUUAACACAUGCAAGUCGAACGAAGUGGCGAACGGGUGAGUAACGCGUAAUCAACCUGCCCUUCAGAGGGGUACAACAGUUGGAAACGACUGCUAAUACCGCAUACUGAAGGAGGGGAUUGCGUCUGAUUAGCUAGUUGGAGGGGUAACGGCCUACCUAGGCAACGAUACAUAGCUGGUCUGAGAGGAGGACCAGGCACACUGGACCUGAGACACGGUCCAGACCCCUACGGGAGGCAGCAGGGGGGAAUAUUGCAAAAUGGGCGCAAGCCUGAUGCAGCCAUGCCGCGUGUAUGAAGAAGGCCUUCGGGUUGUAAAGCUCUGUUAAUCGGGACGCGGUACCGGAAUAGAAAGCCACGGCUAACUACGUGCCAGCAGCCGCGGUAAUUC
Molecule: ribosomal RNA, 408 nt
Filed under: uncultured bacterium
Lineage: Bacteria
Description: partial 16S ribosomal RNA
Rfam family: Bacterial small subunit ribosomal RNA
Source: RNAcentral